RNAcentral lists this long non-coding RNA (484 nucleotides) under Gallus gallus (chicken). Lineage: Eukaryota; Metazoa; Chordata; Aves; Galliformes; Phasianidae. The record is from RNAcentral.
CGUCCUCGUCGUCCUCGCAAAUGCGGACUCAGAGCAAAGCAGCUCCCUUUGGCACGGGGAGGAGCGCCGCUAACUCGACCACGCUCGCUCCCGUGAGGCGGCUCGCUUGCCGGCGAUCUCCGACGGACGGCUCGCUAGGAGACGCCUGCAGUUCCCGUUCUGGCAGCGGCUCGGUGCAAGCGCAGGCCCAAGGGAGAUGUCAGCUGCGGAGACGUGCCCUUCCUCCACAGCACGGGAAAGCAAGUCGGGGAGAAGAGCUGGAGGCAGCUGAACCUAUAUGAGAAAAUGGAACUGAGAGACCCUGCGAAGGAGGAGAUCCCUGAGAAAAAGCGCAACACCAGCCAGAAGCUCAGCCUCGGAUACCUGCACAUGGCCGUCAGACAGAAGGCUGCUCUUCAUUAACAUCCGUCGUUGCCGUCAUCCUCCCUACGGCUUCUCCUGUAAGAAGAUGUGGAAGAAGAGAAACUGAGCACAAAGCUGCCAC